GAACUUUCGAAUCGAAGAAGUAAAGAAAAAAAAUGAGUUCAUCAACGAGAGCUUGGGUUGUAGCCGCCAGUGUGGGCGUCGUGGAAGCCUUAAAAGAUCAAGGAAUUUGCCGAUGGAAUCAAACCAUUAGAUCGGCGCAUCAAUACGCCAAAAAUCAUGUCAGAUCGGUGCCUCAGGCCACCAGAUUGAGUGGCUCUUCCGCCGCCGUGGUUUCCGGCAAGCAACAGCAGAAGCAAUCGGAAGAAUCAUUCAGAACCGUCAUGUAUUUGAGCUGUUGGGGU
RNAcentral lists this unclassified non-coding RNA (281 nucleotides) under Hevea brasiliensis (rubber tree). The record is from RNAcentral. Lineage: Eukaryota; Viridiplantae; Streptophyta; Magnoliopsida; Malpighiales; Euphorbiaceae.